RNAcentral lists this non-coding RNA (23 nucleotides) under Cricetulus griseus (Chinese hamster). The record is from RNAcentral. Lineage: Eukaryota; Metazoa; Chordata; Mammalia; Rodentia; Cricetidae.
CGCGGACGGAAGCCUCAGGUGUG